This 253-nucleotide ribosomal RNA is filed under the name uncultured bacterium. Its description in RNAcentral is "partial 16S ribosomal RNA". It matches the Rfam family "Bacterial small subunit ribosomal RNA", at positions 524 to 776 of the family's 1533-position model. The record is from RNAcentral.
UACGUAGGGCGCAAGCGUUGUCCGGAAUUAUUGGGCGUAAAGAGCUCGUAGGCGGCUUGUCACGUCGGUUGUGAAAGCCCGGGGCUUAACCCCGGGUCUGCAUUCGAUACGGGCAGGCUAGAGUGUGGUAGGGGAGAUCGGAAUUCCUGGUGUAGCGGUGAAAUGCGCAGAUAUCAGGAGGAACACCGGUGGCGAAGGCGGAUCUCUGGGCCAUUACUGACGCUGAGGAGCGAAAGCGUGGGGAGCGAACAGG